GACGAACGCUGGCGGCGUGCUUAACACAUGCAAGUCGAACGGAAAGGCCCUGCUUUUGUGGGGUGCUCGAGUGGCGAACGGGUGAGUAACACGUGAGCAACCUGCCCUUGACUUUGGGAUAACUUCAGGAAACUGGGGCUAAUACCGGAUAGGAGCUCCUGCUGCAUGGUGGGGGUUGGAAAGUUUCGGCGGUUGGGGAUGGACUCGCGGCUUAUCAGCUUGUUGGUGGGGUAGUGGCUUACCAAGGCUUUGACGGGUAGCCGGCCUGAGAGGGUGACCGGCCACAUUGGGACUGAGAUACGGCCCAGACUCCUACGGGAGGCAGCAGUGGGGAAUAUUGCACAAUGGGCGGGAGCCUGAUGCAGCAACGCCGCGUGCGGGAUGACGGCCUUCGGGUUGUAAACCGCUUUCGCCUGUGACGAAGCGUGAGUGACGGUAAUGGGUAAAGAAGCACCGGCUAACUACGUG
This 468-nucleotide ribosomal RNA is filed under the name uncultured bacterium. Its description in RNAcentral is "partial 16S ribosomal RNA". It matches the Rfam family "Bacterial small subunit ribosomal RNA", at positions 28 to 507 of the family's 1533-position model. The record is from RNAcentral.